UACGGGGGGGGCAAGCGUUGUUCGGAAUUACUGGGCGUAAAGGGCUCGUAGGCGGCCAACUAAGUCAGACGUGAAAUCCCUCGGCUUAACCGGGGAACUGCGUCUGAUACUGGAUGGCUAGAGGUUGGGAGAGGGAUGCGGAAUUCCAGGUGUAGCGGUGAAAUGCGUAGAUAUCAGGAGGAACACCGGUGGCGAAGGCGGAUCUCUGGGCCUUACCUGACGCUCAGGUGCGAAAGCUAGGGGAGCGAACAGG
Molecule: ribosomal RNA, 253 nt
Filed under: uncultured bacterium
Lineage: Bacteria
Description: partial 16S ribosomal RNA
Rfam family: Bacterial small subunit ribosomal RNA
Source: RNAcentral